RNAcentral lists this ribosomal RNA (439 nucleotides) under uncultured bacterium. RNAcentral describes it as "partial 16S ribosomal RNA". It matches the Rfam family "Bacterial small subunit ribosomal RNA", at positions 338 to 795 of the family's 1533-position model. The record is from RNAcentral.
CCUACGGGUGGCAGCAGUGGGGAAUAUUGCACAAUGGGCGAAAGCCUGAUGCAGCAACGCCGCGUGAGCGAUGAAGGCCUUCGGGUCGUAAAGCUCUGUCCUCAAGGAAGAUAAUGAAGGUACUUGAGGAGGAAGCCCCGGCUAACUAUGUGCCAGCAGCCGCGGUAAUACGUAGGGGGCUUGCGUUAACCGGAAUUACUGGGCGUAAUGGGUGAGUAGGUGGUUUCUUAAGUAGGAGGUGAAAGGCUACGGCUCAACCGUAGUAAGCGUUUUAAACUGGGAAACUUGAGUGCAGGAGAGGAGAGUGGAAUUCCUAGUGUAGCGGUGAAAUGCGUAGAUAUUAGGAGGAACACCAGUUGCGAAGGCGGCUCUCUGGACUGUAACUGACACUGAGGCACGAAAGCGUGGGGAGCAAACAGGAUUAGAUACCCUUGUAGUC